GACAGAGGUCCCGAGCGUUAGGCGGAAUCACUGGGCUUAAAGCGUGUGUAGGCGGAUGCCUAAGUACCUUGUGAAAUCCCACGGCUCAACCGUGGAACUGCUUGGUAUACUGGGUGUCUUGAGCCACUUAGGGGCUACCGGAACAAAUGGUGGAGCGGUGAAAUGCGUAGAUAUCAUUUGGAACGCCAAUGGAGAAAACAGGUAGCUGGGAGUGUGCUGACGCUGAGACACGAAAGCCAGGGGAGCGAACGGG
RNAcentral lists this ribosomal RNA (253 nucleotides) under uncultured bacterium. RNAcentral describes it as "partial 16S ribosomal RNA". It matches the Rfam family "Bacterial small subunit ribosomal RNA", at positions 524 to 776 of the family's 1533-position model. The record is from RNAcentral.